UCUACGGGUGGCAGCAGUGAGGAAUAUUGGUCAAUGGACGCAAGUCUGAACCAGCCAUGCCGCGUGCAGGAAGACGGCUCUAUGAGUUGUAAACUGCUUUUGUACGAGGGUAAAUCCCGAUACGUGUAUCUGGUUGAAAGUAUCGUACGAAUAAGGAUCGGCUAACUCCGUGCCAGCAGCCGCGGUAAUACGGAGGAUUCAAGCUUUAUCCGGCUUUCAUGUGUUUAAAGGGUGCGUAGGCUGUUCGAUAAGUUAGAGGUGAAAUCCAGGGGCUCACAUCCGGCACUGCCUCUGAGACUGUCGGGCUAGAGUUUAGUUGCGGUAGGCGGAAUGUAUGGUGUAGCGGUGAAAUGCAGAGAGAUCAUACAGAACACCGAUUGCGAAGGCAGCUUACCAAACUACGACUGACGUUGAGGCACGAAAGCGUGGGGAGCAAACAGGAUUAGAUACCCUUGUAGUC
RNAcentral lists this ribosomal RNA (460 nucleotides) under uncultured bacterium. Its description in RNAcentral is "partial 16S ribosomal RNA". It matches the Rfam family "Bacterial small subunit ribosomal RNA", at positions 338 to 795 of the family's 1533-position model. The record is from RNAcentral.